This is an RNA transcript of Triticum aestivum (bread wheat), 4011 nucleotides long. RefSeq lists it as uncharacterized. The record is from RefSeq and is a predicted model, not a curated record. Lineage: Eukaryota; Viridiplantae; Streptophyta; Magnoliopsida; Poales; Poaceae. The transcript has 5 exons.
CAACCCUCUCCUCGAGAACAGACCCUUCUUUCGUUCAUCCUGGAGAGAAGAACAAGAGAAGAGGCACUUAUUCCGUUGAACAAGCGCCAUGUCAUCAACCAUCCGGGGCAGGCUCGCUCUUAUGCCUCGAUUAUACCGAGCCUUCGUGUUCUUCCACAGACUUUCUCAUUGGAUGGUAUGUUUUACGUCGGCAGGGGGAUAGCCGGAUAGGCGAUCCUUGAAAAUUAAUCGUCGGCAAGAUCGAUCUGUCUAUAAAUCUAAUAUCGAACAUUUUUUUGUAUUCUUCUUAAUUUUCAUUGUGUUUUUUCAUUGAUAUACGAAGGGGAAUAGGAGCACAGUCGUCGCCCAUCUGGUUGGUAUUUUUUCGUCGAUCCAUCAAACCGGUAAGGUUGAUCGAUGUAAUGAUAAUUUUUUAUUUUAGAUCUUACUUACAUCGAAGGACACUUUUUAUUUAUCAUAAGAUCUUAAUAGUUUUGGCGUUAUAUAUUCAUCUUACUCCCUCGCUUCCGUUUGCACAGCCAAAAAAAAUAUUUCCAAUCGAGGAAGAUGCUGAGUGGGAUCAAAUUUCAUGAGAGGCAAAACUGCCCAAUUAACUUGCUCUUAUUGUUUUUCUUUAAAAAGCCAGCCUAAUUGCAGUUUAUGCAUAGAGAAGGUUCUAUUUUCCUUCCAUACAUGCAUGAGUAGAUCUUACUUAUAUCAAUUUACUCGUUCCUAAGUAUAAGCCAUUUUAGAGAUUUUAAUAUGAACUACAUAUGAAGCAAAAUGAAUAAAUCUACACUCGUAUGUAGUCCUUAUUGAAAUCUCCAAAAUGCCAUAUAUUUAGAAACGAGGGAGAAGUAAAGUUUUUUCUUACAGAAAUCCUGUUCAGCGACCCUCCCCUGGAUGAGGGGUGGCAAACGAACCCCUUUUAAUGACUGCUGUUUCCAAGACACGAUAAAAUGGUGGCAGUACUAAAUGAAAAAUUCUGUGACAGAAAUUGCCUUGUCGCUCUAAAGAAACUAUUACCCACUCAUAACUAAGAAGGCCAGCAAUCGUAUUUUUUUUGCUUUAAAAAAAAAGAGGCCAGCAAUCGUUCGAAAAUACCACCCCAACUGGUGAACGUUCGUCACCUAAGGGGUCUUUUCUUAGGAGCACAUGUUGGGCUGCCAACCCAGCCCGCUGAUGGCCUGAUCCCACGCGUACGGCUGAUCGAAUCCACGGUUCGGCAUUUCCCUUAGAGAAGGCGAGAGAAAAUCCUCGCGGAAGGGUAUGCGACGGGCGAGACAACGCGCUCGCAACCUUCUCGACCCGCCGCCUCCCGCAGCUCCUCCACGCGCCGCCGUUCACCUUCCCCGGCCGGAAAGACCCAGUACGUACCUCCGCAUCAUCUGCUCGUCCCCGGUAAUAUAAGGUUGCUUCCCGUCCCAUUCCGCCCCGGUAAUCUAGGGUUUCUUGGCCGAGGAAUACUCCGCCAUGUAGCCGCGGUAAUCUCAGCCGAGGAAUACUCCGCAAUGUAGCCGCGGUAAUCUAGGGUUUCUUAUCGUAUGAGGAAUAACAGUUGUUUGUAGAGGAUGGCUGCAGGCCUCGUUGUCCAGGUUGAACGUGUGUGCUAUGUAGAUGUAGGGUGUUCCAUUGGUAUACUGCAUCUGAUCCUAUGAUUGUCUGCUAGCUUGAAUGAAUUGGUGCAGAUUCGAUGGAUCUCGUCCUACUAAGAUUAGUAAAUUGAUUUUGGAGAUGACCCUGUGAUUUAGGCUGUCUAUAUCUAUUAGCAGAGCAGCUUUUGCAAAACAGGGGAAGCACAAGGCUUUUCCAACCGAAAGAAAAAGAGUUGUUGAGCAUGUGUAGGUGUGUCUGUGUGCAUUGUUUCUGAUGCAGUGAUGGAGUAGUAACAACCUUUUGUGACUACUGAUGCAUGCAUGCACUGUUCCUAGCUUAUAGAAGAUCAAUGGAUCUUGGUUUGCAAAAGGUGCUCUAUUGGAUCAUGUAGGCUGUUAUAUUGAUAUACUGCAUCUCUAGAUUUUUAGUUGUUUUCUAGCUUGAAUGAGUCUUGUCCUGUGAAGAUUAGUAAAUUGAUUUUGCAGAUGAUCCUAUAAUGGUUUGAACCGCAUGAUCUUUAUACAAAUGUUUCUUCCUAUAGUUUAGUUUUUACUAAUGUUUCUUGCUAUAGUUUAAUUUUUGCUGCUAGUACUAAGGCAGGACUGUUUGGUGCAUUUCUGUCUUUAAAGUUAUGUGUAUGAUGUCUAAAAAUUUCCCUCCGAAUGGUGCAAUUUUUGGUGAAAGUUUGUAUUUUCCCUCUAAAGUCUCUUAUCUGUUUAUUUUUGAAUGAUUUAAACACCAGCGGCUGAUAUCUUGUAACUGAUCUUAACAGGGUAAUUGAAACGACAUCAAUAGCUUGCUGACAUGCGUCGUGAGUUUGAGCCUGUUCACAACGGUGCUGGAUAUUGCAUAGAUCCACGCGUUUGGCAUCGUGCACCUGUACACCGUGGUUAAUUGAGUACGCUGAAUGUGCAAGUGUGAGGCAUGCACAUGCACGUGGGAUGUGUUUUUCUCAAUAUCCACUAGUAUAAUCCGAACAUGAAGCUGACCGGAGCAUCCUCAUUCAUUGCUUAUGGCAUGUAUAUCUUUGAUGAUGGGCAUCAUGUAGACGAUGCAAUGCCCCUGGACGAAUACACAGACAUAUUUCCGAUGGUUAUUGAACUUAAUGGAGCCACAGUCAAAAAUGGUUAUUUGUGUGUUCCUGGUGAAGUUGACCCAGUGGUCAUCUAUGAACUUGCAUCUCCCCAGUGCAGGCUGCUCAUGAAGAGCAUGCUUAAGUCUCUUGAAAUAAAUGAUCUGGAUGGGGUGUGUUUUACUGCAUUUGACCGCAACAAUGUGGUUGUGACCGCAACAAUGUGGUUGUGACCUCAUUUGGUAAAAUCAAAUUGAGGAAUGUUACCAUUGUCCGCAACCUCAAAGGAGCUGCACUGCGACAAGCUCAAAGAAAUAACUAUCUGUCGGCCCUUCUAAUAUUUCAGAGCUUGUUCGAAGGUGAAGCUGUUCCAGAAGAUGUCCAGGACUUGUUUAAUAUCAUUGAAGAUCAGGACCAGUAUAAUCUGCAUCGGCCAAUGUUCCAUGUCCAUGGCGCUGUACUUCAAAUUCCAGAGUAUUCUGGUGUCUACAAAGACUUACAUGAGCAUAUACGUCUUGUGAUUGAAAAGCCAGAGAUGAGGAGCAUAUUACUGAAUCUGCCAUAUGUAGAUGAUUGGCUGCUUAGGAUUGCAAGCAAUUCCCUCCUCAUGACGACAUAUAACUACAACGUUAAGAGUUACAUUGUUCCAACGAGCAAUGCUAUUCAGACCUGCCUGAACAAGGACCAGAUUGCUUUGCUCACUGAACUACACUUAGUUAGAGCUAGUGGUCAAAAGGACUUCACUGCAGAACAGAAGCAACUUGUCAAGGCGCUUCAGUUCAUUGAUUUUCCGAGGAAUCGAAAUGCCCACAGGAUGGAGCCCUUUGUGUACUUUAGGUCUGAGGGUCAGUUCUACAAUUCUGAAGGAAGUGAAACAGUGUCAUAUCUUCGUUUACCCCUUCUGAUACCGGCCAUGCAGAAACAACUUCAAAGCAUUCGUAGGCUCCAUGAGGUGCAAGACGUCCGGCAUGAGGAUGAGGCAGGUGCAGGUGCUGGGGCAGGUGCUGGUGCUGGUCUUGUCGGUGUCGGUGAGCCUGGUGAUGGUGCUGGUGUUGUUGGUGUCGGUGAGCCUGGUGCUGGUGCUGAGGAUGAGUCUGAGUUGUAGUAUUUUUACUGCUCUAAACUUGGAACGCCCAAUGUAGUAGUGCUUUCAUUUCUUGCCUUCUAGAAUCGUGGCUGGUGUUGCUGGCGUUGUGGGUGAGCCUGGUGCUGAGGCUGAGUGGCUGGUGUUGAGUUGUAGGAAUUUGCUGCUCUAAACUUUUAUUGAAUGGAACUCCCAGUGUAGUGUUUCAAUCUUUAGUCUGCUAGAAUAUUGUAUACUACUUAUGUUGAUGCUAAUGAGGUACACUUGAGUAAAUUAAUUA